AGUGAACGCUGGCGGUAGGCCUAACACAUGCAAGUCGAACGGCAGCACAGUAAGAGCUUGCUCUUACGGGUGGCGAGUGGCGGACGGGUGAGGAAUACAUCGGAAUCUACUUUUUCGUGGGGGAUAACGUAGGGAAACUUACGCUAAUACCGCAUACGACCUACGGGUGAAAGCAGGGGAUCUUCGGACCUUGCGCGAUUGAAUGAGCCGAUGUCGGAUUAGCUAGUUGGCGGGGUAAAGGCCCACCAAGGCGACGAUCCGUAGCUGGUCUGAGAGGAUGAACAGCCACCUUGGAACUGGGACCGGGUCCAGCCCCCUAGGGGAGGCAGCAGGGGGGAAUUUUGGAAAAUGGGCGAAACCCUGAUCCAGCCAAACCGGGGGGGUGAAGAAGGCCUUGGGGUUGUAAAGCCCUUUUUUUGGGAAAAAAAAGCAGCAGGUUAAUCCCCCGCUUUUCUGACGGUACCCAAAAAAAAAGCCCCGGCCAACUUCGU
This 491-nucleotide ribosomal RNA is filed under the name uncultured bacterium. RNAcentral's name for it is "partial 16S ribosomal RNA". It matches the Rfam family "Bacterial small subunit ribosomal RNA", at positions 29 to 506 of the family's 1533-position model. The record is from RNAcentral.